AGCCNUGUCUCCGAAUGNAUUUGAUUUAAGUUUGAUCAUGGCUCAGACGAGGCGUUACGGCAGGCCUAACACAUGCAAGUCGAACGGUAACAGUGAAGCAGCUUGCUGCUUUGCUGACGAGUGGCGGACGGGUGAGUAAUGUCUGGGAAACUGCCUGAUGGAGGGGGAUAACUACUGGAAACGGUAGCUAAUACCGCAUAACGUCGCAAGACCAAAGAGGGGGACCUUCGGGCCUCUUGCCAUCGGAUGUGCCCAGAUGGGAUUAGCUUAGUAGGUGAGUGUAACGGCUCACCUAGGCGACGAUCCCUAGCUNGGUCUAGAGGGGAUGACCAGCCACACUGGAACUGAGACACGGUCCAGACUCCUACGGGAGGCAGCAGUGGGGAAUAUUUGCACAAUGGGCGCAAGCCUGAUAGCAGCCAUGCCGCGUAGUAUGAAGAAGGCCUAUCGGGUUGUAAAGUACUUUCAGCGGGGAGGAAGGUGUUGAGGUUAAUAAACCUACAGCAAUUAGACGUUAACCCGGCAGAAAGAAGCACCCGGGCUAACUACCGGUAGCCCAAAC
Molecule: ribosomal RNA, 562 nt
Filed under: uncultured bacterium
Lineage: Bacteria
Description: bacterial SSU rRNA
Rfam family: Bacterial small subunit ribosomal RNA
Source: RNAcentral